ACCCGUGUCUCUUCUCUCUGACUCACCAUCCGCUGUCCCUGCUCUGUCCCCGCUCUGUCCCCGCCGCUGCCUAAUACUGCAUGUCUUAUCUUCUCUGUUUGGCUUUGCUAAUCUUCCUUCCCCGUAGAUAGUUACCAGAGUCAGCUAAAAGCUAUCCGCGCUAAAGUGUGCCAAUCCUGAGUGUAGAAACAUCAUUUCUCUUGCAUCUGAGAAGACUAGACUUGUAGAUUCCUGAAUGUGAGUUAAUGAUACUUAGCAAUACACCUGAACACACACUCGCCCAUAUCUAUUCGAUUAUUUGUCUUUCAAUGACUCGAGGAAGGUAGGUUGGGCGUGUAAUUAGACGCGAAGGCCAUGUGAUUUGACUUUACACGCGGCAACCAAAAAUAUGCCCAGCAUAUCGAAAAACCAAGAUAACACACAAGAUCGCCCAACAAAUCAACACAACCUUUGACAAUUCCCUACACGACCGUGGGUUGAUCCCCUCACACUCUAGGGAUGUUAAUUGUGUGAUACAUAUAUUGAUUCUCUUUUCAGUUGGGGCCGUACCACCACACAACUACUUAUUUUGAUGAGCUACCUACAGUAUCUGACCUCCCAUCUGCCACAACUCCCCCCCCUGUUUUUCUACAUACAUCUUCAAAGAUGACCCGAGCCCAACAGACUCUCUCUGUCCUCCUCUUAAUCACAUCGCUUUACCUCGCCCUCUACCUCGGCCUCAUUCCUCUAAAUCCCACCAUCCAGAAUGAAAUAAUACCAGUCCUCCCUUUCUACUCCCUCAUGGUAAUAGGCGCAUACAUGCUCUUCCGCCUCGGGUGGGGUGUGUAUGCCUUCAACGAUGUGCCUGAGGAGUACUCAUCGCUGCAGGAGGAGAUUCUGGAAGCGAAGAACAAGUUGCGGGUGGCAAAGGUGGACGUUGAUUAGGGUGGUUUUAUGCAUCUUUGUUCAGUCUUUUAUGGUCUGGGUUGUGAUCAAUGAACAGAGGCCAGGAGGAAGCAGGGGAUGGGAGAGGAAAGAAAGGUUGGAGGUAGGAGGAGACGAGACGGAAAUGUCAGGCUUCUUUAUUGAGAUGGGUGCAAAGAAUGUUGAGCCCCGAUGAGGGAAAUUUUUCUUGUUUUUUUCUUGUCUCUUUUUGCUGUUUCUUAUACCUGUUUGUUUGGCUUCGUUCAUUGUUAACAAGGUAUCCUCCAUAAUCCAAGGCUCUUUCUUUUUCCAGUGCAAAAUAUUUCUAAUAUCUAUAGAAUCUUCAAUUUUAAGAAAUUCUAAACCUAAUGUCAGGCUACGUCAUAGUUUUCAUUUAUUUUAAAAAUCAAAGAAAAAGAAAGCUAAAAUAAUGAUGCAAAUAUGCAGAAUGCAGAAUAGAAACAGAGGCGGGGAGAGUUGGGGAGCCGGAGAAAAAAGUAAUAUAAAACGUAAUAGAGCUAGGAGACAGAAGCAGAAAUGAAAAUUCAUAAAAACUUCCACUAUUAGCUUUUGUGUAUUGGCAAAGGAACCAAUACUGGUGGAGGGUAGAAAGGAAAUAUAUAAAACAUCAAGCCAAUGGAUGUUGAGCCGCCAGGUGAUCGUGCUCGUCGAUAUCUUUGGCCUCCCAUGGAUAGCAAAUCCAGACAUCACCAGUGGUGACUGCAGCAAGGUAUCGUCCGUUCUCCAUCAUGUCGGUGGGCAGUGUACCCUUCUUGUCCUUGUUUUUGUUGUGCAGCACAAACACAGAGAAUGUAGUCGUCUCUCCCUCUCUACCCAACUGUUGUUGGGCAACCUGUACAUCUUUCUGCAGCUCCCGCACAGCGUAUUCCAACGUCGUCCGCGUGUCAUCGACCUCGUCGACAAUCAACACAUUCUUCCCGAUCAGAUUGGCCAUUUCCAGUGAGCUGAGAUCGAGCCAUUGCGUGCGCGUAACUUUCGUUCCGAGCUGCUCAAUCUGGUCGUCUUUUCCUAGGUUCUCGUACAGCGAUAAGCCGAUGGCUUGGAUGGGGAUGUUUGCGCCGCCGGGUUGUUUGAGGAAGGACCUUAGAAUUCUUGCUGGAAUAUAUCCUCCUCCGCCAAUGGCGAUCAUGAGGUUUGGCUUGAAAUCAUUGAGGAUGCGGUCUGCCGAGAGUUGACACAACGUGUGCACCUGGUUAUAUGUGACAUAGACCUUUUCUACCAUUGUGGUCUCGUUUGAACUUUCACGUAGAUAGACUUGGUGGGGGUGGAGGGGUGCGAAAAAAAAAAGGAAAAAGGAAAGAUGGCCGUGCCCCACGAUCCGAUCGCCCUGUGCACCCAGGGAAGUGUAUCGCUCCUGUUUCUCGAAGUCUUUGUCUGUGGAUUUCAGAAUAAAUUAUGUUUCCGAUGAAACCCACUUAGCUUGUAUGAAGGAGAAAGGAGUGGAAGAUGAGAAGAGUAUAAAUAUAGAAAUAUCCGUAAUGGGG
RNAcentral lists this small RNA (2408 nucleotides) under Histoplasma capsulatum. RNAcentral's name for it is "hypothetical RNA". RNAcentral also lists the same sequence under 1 other name. The record is from RNAcentral. Lineage: Eukaryota; Fungi; Ascomycota; Eurotiomycetes; Onygenales; Ajellomycetaceae.